CCUACGGGAGGCAGCAGUGAGGAAUAUUGGUCAAUGGGCGGAAGCCUGAACCAGCCAAGUAGCGUGCAGGAUGACGGCCCUACGGGUUGUAAACUGCUUUUAUACGGGAAUAACGCGCCUUACGUGUAGGGCUUUGCAUGUACCGUAUGAAUAAGGACCGGCUAAUUCCGUGCCAGAAGCCGCGGUAAUACGGAGGGUCCGGGCGUUAUCCGGAAUUUGUGGGUUUAAAGGGUGCGCAGGCGGGCUGUUAAGGAAGGGGGAAAAGCCCGGGGCUCAACCCCGGCCCGCCGUUGAAACUGGCAGUCUCGAGUUGGAGAGAAGUAUGCGGAAUGCGCGGUGUAGCGGUGAAAUGCAUAGAUAUCGCGCAGAACUCCGAUUGCGAAGGCAGCAUGCCGGCUCCACACUGACGCUGAGGCACGAAAGCGUGGGUAUCGAACAGGAUUAGAUACCCCUGUAGUC
RNAcentral lists this ribosomal RNA (459 nucleotides) under uncultured bacterium. RNAcentral's name for it is "partial 16S ribosomal RNA". It matches the Rfam family "Bacterial small subunit ribosomal RNA", at positions 338 to 795 of the family's 1533-position model. The record is from RNAcentral.